This is a non-coding RNA of Anolis sagrei ordinatus, 227 nucleotides long. The record is from RefSeq and is a predicted model, not a curated record. Lineage: Eukaryota; Metazoa; Chordata; Lepidosauria; Squamata; Anolidae.
GGGGAAUUGAAAGAAGAACAGAAUAACAAAGACAUCUGCUGACAGAGUGGUGUUAUAUGAUUUCAGCUCCGUUAAAACUCUAUUCAAGAAAUCUAUGCCAGCUCCUGAUUGGUUAUGAAACAGCAAGAAUCCAAGUCUGGAGUGGCUCAGCACUCUGUCUGACACCAUCACUGGUUGGCUCUUUGUGGUGGUGGGAAAUGUAAUAAACUGUAAUUGGAACAUUUGAA